RNAcentral lists this ribosomal RNA (633 nucleotides) under Triticum aestivum (bread wheat). RNAcentral's name for it is "partial small subunit ribosomal RNA". The record is from RNAcentral. Lineage: Eukaryota; Viridiplantae; Streptophyta; Magnoliopsida; Poales; Poaceae.
AUGCACAAUUUCGUUAUUAACUUCAUAGCUGACUUUGAUCAGUUGAGUGCACGGCCAGAACCUCCACUACAGACGGCUCCUGCACAAGCAAACCAAAAUUUGAAGUGGAUCCCGCCGGUUCAGGGUUCCAUAAAGAUUAAUGUUGACGCUGCAAUUUCCACCAACCAUAAUGUUGGUACGGCUGCUGCCGUGUGCCGGGACAGUGAUGGCGCUUAUUUGGGCUCUUCCAUGCUGGUCAUUCAUGGGUUGUUGGAUCCACCGACGCUAGAAGCUAUUGCAUACAAGGAAGGCCUUUCUUUGGCGCAAGAUCUUGGGAUGGUUCAUCUAUAUGUCCCUUCGGAUUGCAAACAGGUAGUACAUCAUAUACAUCAGAGAGUUGAAGGGGACUGCGGCAUCAUCAUCAGAGAGAUUUUAGAUAUUUCUCAUUCCUUUGCAUCUUGUAAUUUCUUUUUUGAACCUCGAGCUGUGAACUAUGAAGCUCACAGGCUAGCUAGGUUUGGUGUUUCUCUCCCGGUUGGGAGGCAUCUUUGGCUGGGUACUCCUUAUGACCCAGUUGUAAUUCCUGCAACCAUUUUAGCAGGGCCGUCUCCAGGAAUUCGGGGGCCCGGUGCGAAAUGCAAAAUAAGGCCCUAA